CCGUUGUUGAAGUCCUCAACCUUCCGCUCGCUCAUGGCUCAGAGGUGGGGUGGACAACAAAAUUGACUUUUAAUGAACAUACAUCAAUAUGCGAAAAGUAGUAUUGGAGAGAGUAUAAGAUGUACCACAAUUCAGAUAUCCUGUGGCCAACACAGCCAGAACUUAAUCAGAUCACUGGAAUUUACUGCAAGUACCUGAAAGAGAGUGGUUACUGAACCUAACAGCAAGAAACUUGUGUACAGAAGCAAAGCAAAGGCAAUUAGCCCAGUUGUGACCAUUUUGUAACUUAGCAUACCGUGGUGGCCUUGAUCAGCGUAAAAGAGAGAAAUCAAUCAGUUAAGAAUGAGGAAAAAUUGAAAUGGUGUUUAGAGUUUAAAGAGAGAGGAGAUAAUGAGAAACUGUCAUCCAAAAAAAAGUUUGGGCCUGGAGUUUCCAAUUCAGAACAUUUUUGUAAAUUAAAAAAAAAUGUCAUGCUUUCAUUAAGAGGAGACGAAAAGAAACAGAUAACCUAGAGUAUUUGCUGUAACAGGACGAUUCUUCCUGCCUCUCAAGGAUGCUGAAAAUUCUACUCAACUCCCCGCCACCACCACCACCACCACGAAGUUGUUUUCUGGUUCUGAGAGUAAAAGUGUUUCCCAAACUAUGUAUUCCAUCCUCCCUGGUAGCACAGACAUGAAAAUGAAAUUGAAGAGACACCCUAACGCCUGCACUUCUGUCUGUGUGCACAUGGGAAAUGACUGCACUCAGAUUUCACUGCAGCUGAAGAAAACAGAAAUUAUUUUCUGUACCUACUGAUUAUCCCUUAGAACAUGAGAGGCUGCAUUUACAGUAACUAGAGGAAGACAUAGAGCUAGAAUUUGAAUAAGCAGAUGUGAAAAUCAGUGUUUCAAAGUUACUCUUUGGAUUCUUUAUUUCUGUUAAGGUAAUCUGGAAUCUACUUGUCACAGUUUGUAGAUUUUAUGAUGCAAUUUUUGUCCAGUAAUUUUAGCAAAAACAUAUUGAAGAUGUAUAUUGUCCUGAUGAGAACUGGAGCGAGAUGGUGGAGAAAGGAGCCAUCUAAGAUUCAUGCAAUGGAUUUUCAAAUCCAAUGACUGUUUAUGAAAAUAAUUUUGUACCCUCAGCAUCUAUGUUCAAUGCAGCUGAAAUCUUCCCAGAGCGAAGAAAUGCAUCAAAAAAGAAAAAGGAAAUGAAGAAAGAGGGAAGAAAAGAGAAAAAAGAAAGGAAACAGAUUUUACUUUUAGCUCAUCUUCAGAUUUGCAAGAGACAAUAAGUGAGAUUCAU
Long non-coding RNA from Heterocephalus glaber (naked mole-rat), 1281 nucleotides. NCBI's taxonomy places the organism in Eukaryota, Metazoa, Chordata, Mammalia, Rodentia, Bathyergidae. The record is from Ensembl.